RNAcentral lists this long non-coding RNA (861 nucleotides) under Vulpes vulpes (red fox). Its description in RNAcentral is "lncRNA (ENSVVUG00000012065.1)". Lineage: Eukaryota; Metazoa; Chordata; Mammalia; Carnivora; Canidae. The record is from RNAcentral.
UGACAUUAUUUGCAUGAUUUUACCAUGCAAGACUUUAAAUCCUUCUAAGGCAAGAGUGCAUUCUUUUAUCUUUGUCUUUCCAGAACUUAUCAUCGUUCUUGACAUAUAGAAGUUGCUCAUUAAAUAUUUUCCAAGCACAUGAGUGAAGCAAUGAAGGAGUGAUUUGGAAAUUGUUCCCUGGACCUCCAUCACCACAAUUGCACAAGAAGCAGGGAUCCUGAAUCAUCCACAGAACAGAUAUCAGAAGUGGAAAAUGAUGAGUCCUCUUCUGGAAAAGCAUAAGUCAGCCUGGGAGUGAGGUUCCUGAGUCACUGAGCUGAUCUUCACCAGGACCUGCCUUCUCACUGGAGCAGAUGGUGUAAGGGCCCAGGAGCCCUGACGAAGGUUCUACAUUGGGAUGCUAGAGGUCAUAGACAUUCCUUAAUGCAAUCAUUCCCAAGCCAGACUGACCACCUCCUCAUCAGUCUUAGCAUCUAGUCAAGAGCAAAGGCUCUGGAACCAGACUUCGGAACUCUGAACCCCAGCUCUGCCACUCACAAGCUAUGUGAGCUUAAACAAGUUUCUUAACCUCUCUGUGCCUUAUCUGUAUAGAGGGAAAUUUGUUGCUGUGGAGAUUAAAAUGAACCAAUAUGCGCUGUGCUUGCAAGAGUGCCUGGCACAGAGUCAAAUGUUUGGUACCAGUCUUGCCCCUAGCCUUGGCCUGGCAUGGUGGCCAAUAACCUCCACUGCAUUCCUUGCCCUUCCUCCAGGUACCACCUAGGGAACUUAUUUUAUGAAGGAUUUCAAAAUAUUUCAUGGGAGCAAAGAACUGAAGGGACAAAGAACCAAGUUAUUAGCGUCUGGGCUGAUGGUGGAUUCUUG